RNAcentral lists this ribosomal RNA (855 nucleotides) under Decemunciger sp. AB-2017. RNAcentral's name for it is "partial 12S ribosomal RNA". The stretch from base 424 to 848 matches the Rfam family "Eukaryotic small subunit ribosomal RNA", at positions 1117 to 1823 of the family's 1831-position model. The record is from RNAcentral. Lineage: Eukaryota; Metazoa; Annelida; Polychaeta; Terebellida; Ampharetidae.
GACCAGUUUGAUUCUAGCUGACUUAUCUGCCUAUUCUAAAUUUACACAUGUGAGAUUUUUCAAGCCCGUUAACACAAAUUCAAAGUAAUCUUAAUGUGACACUUUGUUAAUUUGGUAUUUUAGACAGAUCCUCUAUACCUAUUAACGCCUACAGUGAAUAACCCUGUAAAAGUAAGGCCACUUAGCUUCGAUUUACGAUUAUAGAACUGGUUAAAAAAGUGCCAGCGACCGCGGUUAAACAUAAAGUUCAAGUAGAUUAUUUCGGUAUUUAUAGUAAGUUAUUUUUAUGGUUUAAAUAUAAAAUGUCAAGGGUAUAAUCUGAAUAAUUAAUAAUACUCUCGUAAUAACCCCUAUACAAAACUAUAAAAGCUUAGACAAAAACCAGGAUUGGAUACCCAAUUAUUCUAUGCCAGAAAAAAUACCGGGGGAGUACAGGCGCAUGUCUAAAACUCAAAGAAAUUGGCGGUAUUCUAACGUCUCAGGGGAAUCUGUCCUUUAAUUCGAUGACCCACGAACACCCAACUUUUUUUUGAAACCUACAGCCUAUGUAUUGCCGUCCUAAUUGUUUACCCCUCAAGGGUAGCAAAGUUUGGACAUAGAACACUUUAUAUAAAGUAGUGUCUUAAUGUCAGGUCAAAAUAUAGCCAAUAAAAAAGCAGAGAUGGAUUACUUCUAUACACCAACCAGCAUUCACCACAAACAAGUGAACCAAGAAGGACUUGAAAGUAAGAGCAGAUCUAAAAUACUACUCUGAAUACAGUAAUCUAGAAUAAGUACAAAUCGCCCGUCGCCCUCGUCGAAAGAUGAGGUAAGUCGUAACAUAGUGGAUGUAACGGAAGUUGCAUCUAAUAAUUA